Molecule: transfer-messenger RNA, 400 nt
Filed under: Candidatus Gastranaerophilaceae
Lineage: Bacteria; Bacillati; Candidatus Melainabacteria; Candidatus Gastranaerophilales
Also listed under: 1 other name
Description: RUG14219 sp902796925 Standard tmRNA
Rfam family: transfer-messenger RNA
About the family: Bacterial tmRNA, also known as 10Sa RNA or SsrA, is named for its dual tRNA and mRNA-like properties.
Source: RNAcentral
GGGGACGUAAUGGUUUUGACAGGAUGUUUCGGUUGGAACAGGCAGCGAGUCCGGGAGCUGUGCCCGGUCAACAACGAGCAAAAAAAUAAGUGCUAAUAACACAAUUGAUGCCACAGAUGCAUUUGUUGCAAGACGUGCAUUGGCUGCGUAGUAGCAGUCGGCAACUUUACAUCACCCAGCUUGCCGGUGAGUAAGGUCCACGAUGCAAGUUGCAGUGUACUAAUGACGAUAGGUACAUCAAGACAAUCGUUAGGGGUUUAGAGUUUCCCUGAAAUAAAACCUAGGACUAAAUCAACGGUUACGGUAUUUUUCGGAUUUAGUUGAGUAAAAAAUGCCUACACUCGUAGAAACUUGUUUUAAUCCAUUUUGGACAGGGGUUCGACUCCCCUCGUCUCCACCA